UACGAAGGGGGCUAGCGUUGUUCGGAAUUACUGGGCGUAAAGCGAACGUAGGCGGUGUUCCAUGUCAGAGGUGAAAGCCUGGGGCUCAACUCCAGAAUUGCCUUUGAAACGGGAACGCUUGAGUCCGAGAGAGGAUGGCGGAAUUCCUAGUGUAGAGGUGAAAUUCGUAGAUAUUAGGAAGAACACCGGCGGCGAAGGCGGCCAUCUGGCUCGGUACUGACGCUCAGGUUCGAAAGCGUGGGGAGCAAACAGG
Molecule: ribosomal RNA, 253 nt
Filed under: uncultured bacterium
Lineage: Bacteria
Description: partial 16S ribosomal RNA
Rfam family: Bacterial small subunit ribosomal RNA
Source: RNAcentral